Molecule: ribosomal RNA, 433 nt
Filed under: Corynebacterium jeikeium
Lineage: Bacteria; Bacillati; Actinomycetota; Actinomycetes; Mycobacteriales; Corynebacteriaceae
Description: bacterial SSU rRNA
Rfam family: Bacterial small subunit ribosomal RNA
Source: RNAcentral
GGCGGCGUGCUUAACACAUGCAAGUCGAACGGAAAGGCCCUGCUUGCAGGGUACUCGAGUGGCGAACGGGUGAGUAACACGUGGGUGAUCUGCCUUGCACUUCGGGAUAAGCCUGGGAAACUGGGUCUAAUACCGGAUAGGACCAUGCUUUAGUGUGUGUGGUGGAAAGUUUUUCGGUGCAAGAUGAGCCCGCGGCCUAUCAGCUUGUUGGUGGGGUAAUGGCCUACCAAGGCGACGACGGGUAGCCGGCCUGAGAGGGUGUACGGCCACAUUGGGACUGAGACACGGCCCAGACUCCUACGGGAGGCAGCAGUGGGGAAUAUUGCACAAUGGGCGCAAGCCUGAUGCAGCGACGCCGCGUGGGGGAUGAAGGCCUUCGGGUUGUAAACUCCUUUCGCUAGGGAAGAAGCCACUUGUGGUGACGGUACCUGGA